Oreochromis niloticus (Nile tilapia) is the source of this 56-nucleotide microRNA precursor. Lineage: Eukaryota; Metazoa; Chordata; Actinopteri; Cichliformes; Cichlidae. The record is from Ensembl.
UGUUCGUCUCCUCCUGAAGGCCCGCAACACUACUUUUAGGUCAGGAGAUGCACACG